This 492-nucleotide ribosomal RNA is filed under the name uncultured bacterium. RNAcentral's name for it is "partial 16S ribosomal RNA". It matches the Rfam family "Bacterial small subunit ribosomal RNA", at positions 29 to 507 of the family's 1533-position model. The record is from RNAcentral.
AGUGAACGCUGGCGGUAGGCCUAACACAUGCAAGUCGAACGGCAGCACAGUAAGAGCUUGCUCUUACGGGUGGCGAGUGGCGGACGGGUGAGGAAUACAUCGGAAUCUACUUUUUCGUGGGGGAUAACGUAGGGAAACUUACGCUAAUACCGCAUACGACCUACGGGUGAAAGCAGGGGAUCUUCGGACCUUGCGCGAUUGAAUGAGCCGAUGUGGGAUUAGCUAGUUGGCGGGGUAAAGGCCCACCAAGGCGACGAUCCGUAGCUGGUCUGAGAGGAUGGUCAGCCACACUGGAACUGAGACACGGUCCAGACUCCUACGGGAGGCAGCAGUGGGGAAUAUUGGGCAAUGGGGGCAAGCCUGAUCCAGCCAUACCGCGUGGGUGAAGAAGGCCUUCGGGUUGUAAAGCCCUUUUGUUGGGAAAGAAAAGCAGCAGGUUAAUACCCCGCUGUUCUGACGGUACCCAAAGAAUAAGCACCGGCUAACUUCGUG